AUUGAACGCUGGCGGCGUGCUUAACACAUGCAAGUCGAGCGAGAAAGUUUUCUUCGGAAAAUGAGUAGAGCGGCGCACGGGUGAGUAACGCGUGGAUAAUCUGCCCUGAAGAUCGGGAUAACAGUUGGAAACGACUGCUAAUACCGUAUAAUCUGCAUAUUUGACUUUAUGUGGGAAAGGUGGCCUCUAUUUAUAAGCUACCGCUUUUGGAUGAGUCCGCGUCUCAUUAGCUUGUUGGUGGGGUAAUGGCCUACCAAGGCAACGAUGAGUAGCUGGUCUGAGAGGAUGAUCAGCCACACUGGGACUGAAACACGGCCUAGACUCCUACGGGAGGCAGCAGUGGGGAAUAUUGCGCAAUGGGGGAAACCCUGACGCAGCGACGCCGCGUGUAGGAAGAAGGCCUUCGGGUCGUAAACUACUGUCAAGAGGGAAGAAACUGUUUGAUCAUAAUACGUUCAUUCACUGACGGUACCUCUAGAGGAAGCACCGGCUAACUCCGUGCCAGCAGCCGUGGUAAUACGGAGGGUGCGAGCGUUAAUCGGAAUCACUGGGCGUAAAGCGUGCGUAGGCGGCGCUUCAAGUCAGACGUGAAAGCCCUCGGCUCAACCGAGGAAUUGCGUUUGAAACUGG
This 630-nucleotide ribosomal RNA is filed under the name uncultured bacterium. RNAcentral describes it as "bacterial SSU rRNA". It matches the Rfam family "Bacterial small subunit ribosomal RNA", at positions 28 to 636 of the family's 1533-position model. The record is from RNAcentral.